This 672-nucleotide ribosomal RNA is filed under the name Comamonas aquatica. RNAcentral's name for it is "bacterial SSU rRNA". It matches the Rfam family "Bacterial small subunit ribosomal RNA", at positions 66 to 734 of the family's 1533-position model. The record is from RNAcentral. Lineage: Bacteria; Pseudomonadati; Pseudomonadota; Betaproteobacteria; Burkholderiales; Comamonadaceae.
ACGGUAACAGGUCUUCGGAUGCUGACGAGUGGCGAACGGCUUGAGUAAUACAUCGGAACGUGCCUAGUAGUGGGGGAUAACUACUCGAAAGAGUGGCUAAUACCGCAUGAGAUCUACGGAUGAAAGCAGGGGAUCGCAAGACCUUGUGCUACUAGAGCGGCCGAUGGCAGAUUAGGUAGUUGGUGGGAUAAAAGCUUACCAAGCCGACGAUCUGUAGCUGGUCUGAGAGGACGAUCAGCCACACUGGGACUGAGACACGGCCCAGACUCCUACGGGAGGCAGCAGUGGGGAAUUUUGGACAAUGGGCGCAAGCCUGAUCCAGCAAUGCCGCGUGCAGGAUGAAGGCCUUCGGGUUGUAAACUGCUUUUGUACGGAACGAAAAGCCCUGGAUUAAUACCCUGGGGUCAUGACGGUACCGUAAGAAUAAGCACCGGCUAACUACGUGCCAGCAGCCGCGGUAAUACGUAGGGUGCGAGCGUUAAUCGGAAUUACUGGGCGUAAAGCGUGCGCAGGCGGUUUUGUAAGACAGAGGUGAAAUCCCCGGGCUCAACCUGGGAACUGCCUUUGUGACUGCAAGGCUAGAGUACGGCAGAGGGGGAUGGAAUUCCGCGUGUAGCAGUGAAAUGCGUAGAUAUGCGGAGGAACACCGAUGGCGAAGGCAAUCCCCUGGGC